Molecule: ribosomal RNA, 308 nt
Filed under: uncultured bacterium
Lineage: Bacteria
Description: bacterial SSU rRNA
Rfam family: Bacterial small subunit ribosomal RNA
Source: RNAcentral
GGGUAUCCCGUACGAGCGCACCCUUGUCCUUAGUUGCCUCAUGUAAAGCUGGGAACUCUAANGAGACUGCCNGUGACAANCCGGAGGAAGGUGGGGACGACGUCAAGUCAUCAUGGCCCUUACGACCUGGGCUACACACGUGCUACAAUGGCCAGUACAGAGGGCUGCAAUCCCGCGAGGGGGAGCGAAUCCCACAAAACUGGUCGUAGUCCGGAUCGCAGUCUGCAACUCGACUGCGUGAAGUUGGAAUCGCUAGUAAUCGUGAAUCACAAUGUCACGGUGAAUACGUUCCCGGGCCUUGUACACAC